ACGGGAGGCAGCAGUGGGGGAUGUUGCACAAUGGGGGAAACCCUGAUGCAGCGACGCCGCGUGAGUGAUGAAGUAUUUCGGUAUGUAAAGCUCUAUCAGCAGGGAAGAUAAUGACGGUACCUGACUAAGAAGCACCGGCUAAAUACGUGCCAGCAGCCGCGGUAACACGUAUGGUGCAAGCGUUAUCCGGAUUUACUGGGUGUAAAGGGAGCGUAGACGGCAAGGCAAGCCAGAUGUGAAAGGCUGGGGCUCAACCCCGGGACUGCAUUUGGAACUGUCUAGCUAGAGUAUCGGAGAGGUAAGCGGAAUUCCUAGUGUAGCGGUGAAAUGCGUAGAUAUUAGGAGGAACACCAGUGGCGAAGGCGGCUUACUGGACGAUAACUGACGUUGAGGCUCGAAAGCGUGGGGAGCAAACAGGAUUAGAUACCCUGGUA
Molecule: ribosomal RNA, 434 nt
Filed under: uncultured bacterium
Lineage: Bacteria
Description: partial 16S ribosomal RNA
Rfam family: Bacterial small subunit ribosomal RNA
Source: RNAcentral